Daphnia carinata is the source of this 866-nucleotide long non-coding RNA. RefSeq lists it as uncharacterized. The transcript has 7 exons. The record is from RefSeq and is a predicted model, not a curated record. Lineage: Eukaryota; Metazoa; Arthropoda; Branchiopoda; Diplostraca; Daphniidae.
AGGAGUGCAAUUUCUGGGGCCGAAGAGGACAUAGGGCAACGAUGAUCGCCCCGCAGCCACUGGAAUCGCCCAAGAUUCCGAGGAGGGUCACUUCACCACCGAAGGGGGACGUUAGGCAACGAAGGUCGCAGCCAGAAUUCUAGCCCAAAAUUUCAAGGAGGGUUGGCAACACCACCGACGAGGAUAACAGGACGUCGGAGAUCGUCGCUGAAGUAGCCAAGAAUUGCCAGGUAUUGCUUUAACAAUCUUAAGUGUCUAAUCGUUAUUUUUUACGUAUUUUAGGGUGGUCAACAUCACCGAAGAAGGUCACCGGACAACGAGGUUCGCCGUCGGAGCCACCUUGAUCGUCGCCCAAAAUUGUCAAGAGGGCUACAUCACCAUCGAAGAAGAUGCGGGACAUCGAGGAGCGCCGCUGGAGCAACGAGAAUGUCGGCAUGGAGUGCAUCACCACCGCCAAAGAGGAUGCUGGACGCCGAAGAGGAUGCUGGAGCACCGACAUCGUCUUCAUAGAUGUUACAGGUAUAUGUGUUACACGUUUAAUUGUCUAACCAUGUUUUUUUUUGUAUUUUAGAGGGUUGCAUCAUCGCUAAGGAGAACCACUGGACAACGAGGUUCGUCGUCGGAGGCAUCAUAAUUGUCGCCCAAAAUUAUCAAAAGGGCCCCGCCACCAUUGAAAAGGAUGUAGGAUGCCGUCGGAGUCACCAUGAUCGGCGCCCAAAAUUGUCAUGAGGGCCCUACCACCAUCGAAGAGGAUGCUGGGCAUCGAGGAUCGCCGCUGGAGCAACGAAAUCGUUGCCAUGGAUAUAGCAGGUAUAUGUUUAUACGUUAUAUUGUCUAAUCAUUUUUUUUAUGUAUUUAGAAUGGCC